Hemicordylus capensis (graceful crag lizard) is the source of this 268-nucleotide long non-coding RNA. RefSeq lists it as uncharacterized. The transcript is spliced from 3 exons. Lineage: Eukaryota; Metazoa; Chordata; Lepidosauria; Squamata; Cordylidae. The record is from RefSeq and is a predicted model, not a curated record.
CCGGGACGCAUGUUCUAAAGGCACACCCAGGAGAAUUAUACAUAUAGAUUGAGUAUUGUAUGGAGUUGGGGCUAGGACGUUAUAGAAAUGCUGCCCCAUUUGGCCUGAGUGCUGCCUCUGAGAAUGGUGGGAUACAGAGCAAAACCUCCUCCAUGGAUCUUGCAGGAAAACAAAAUCCAGCUAUAAAAUCUGUUUGACCUUAUCAGCAUAAGCUGAGCUGACAGGUCUCUUCUUGAUGGGUGAGUGUGGUUUUGGUAGUGAAUUGUAG